Molecule: ribosomal RNA, 459 nt
Filed under: uncultured bacterium
Lineage: Bacteria
Description: partial 16S ribosomal RNA
Rfam family: Bacterial small subunit ribosomal RNA
Source: RNAcentral
CCUACGGUGGGCAGCAGUGAGGAAUAUUGGUCAAUGGCCGGAAGGCUGAACCAGCCAAGCCGCGUGAAGGACGAAGGUGCCACGCAUUGUAAACUUCUUUUGUCAAGGGACAAAAUCAGGCUCGAGGGCCUGACCGAGGGUACUUGAAGAAAAAGCCUCGGCUAAAUCCGUGCCAGCGGCCGCGGUAAUACGGAGGAUGCGCGCGUUAUCCGGAUUUAUUGGGGUUAAAGGGUGCGUAGGCGGACUGUUAAGUCAGCGGUAAAAGCUCGGGGCUCAACCCCGGCGAGCCGUUGAAACUGGCAGUCUUGAGAGGGCGAGAGGUAUGCGGAAUGCGUGGUGUAGCGGUGAAAUGCUUAGAUAUUGCGCAGAACGCCGAUUGCGAAGGCAGCAUACCGGCGGCGAGCUGACGCUGAGGCACGAAAGCGUGGGGAUCGAACAGGAUUAGAUACCCUUGUAGUC